Non-coding RNA from Oryza meridionalis, 195 nucleotides. The record is from Rfam. Lineage: Eukaryota; Viridiplantae; Streptophyta; Magnoliopsida; Poales; Poaceae.
UUUAAGUGUAACCAUGAGUUUCCGUGUCCAUUUUUGAUCGUGUGUCUUAUUUAAAUUUUUUUUAUAAUUAGUAUUUUUUGUUGUUACGAGAGGAUAAAACAUGAACAGUACUUUACUUGUGAUUUAUGUUUUUAAAUAUUUUUAAAAAAAACGGACGAUUAAAGUUAGAUGCGAAAAACCAUAUAUGCAUUUAAU